Molecule: long non-coding RNA, 626 nt
Filed under: Lepisosteus oculatus (spotted gar)
Lineage: Eukaryota; Metazoa; Chordata; Actinopteri; Semionotiformes; Lepisosteidae
Description: lncRNA (ENSLOCG00000022345.1)
Source: RNAcentral
GCAGAGGAGAGGAGUAAGCAGGAGCUCGGAUUGGUUCAAAAUUAGGGGCGGGUUCACGAAUGUACACACUCCAGUUGUGUUGUGGACUACAGUAGAUAAUACUGAACAUGUUUACAUACGGCACAUGAGUUAGUAUAGAAGCUGUUUUAUCACAUUGUUUUUUUACAGUAAAGGUAGUCAAUUUUGUAAAUCACUGCAGUGUUUGGAAAAGACUCGAAGCUCCACCUGGGCACACCUGCGUCUCGUCUCGGCGAGAGAGAGACACACGGAGGCUUCGCGGCACGCUGAUUCCUUAUUCUGUUGGGUCGAAAACAUACCUGCCGGGUCCUGGAAAGUCCUCGGAAUAACUGUGGAAGGAAGCCCAGGACAGGCAGCAGAGACCAGUCCCAGGAUGCCCGGUCGGAUGACCGCGAACCCCGAAUCGGAGCCGCUCUUGGACGAGGGGAAGGACCGUCCUCUUGAAAAUGGCUCGCUGAGCUCUGUACCCCUCAAACCAGGCCUGACGGGAGAGGGGGCGCAGGAGACGGAGAAGAAGGAAGAGAUGGAGGGGGAGGAGGAGGAGGGAACCAGGAAGGGAGAGGGGGAGGAGGAGAGGGGAGUGAAGAAGGAAGUAGGAGAGGAGGAGG